UCCCACGAUCUACCUCAGGCAAACAAGCCGCCACACAACAAGCCGCUAAACGCAUCUGAGCCCCCAUUCAUCACGUUCACCUCACCUGCCCGGACUGCGCCCCCGCCUCCCUCCCCACCGCCGUGCUCCCUUUGCCUUCGGAUCGCUCCCCUCUGUGGUUGUACGCCGCCCGCCGCCCGCGCAACCUUCCUUCACCCCGCUCGACGUCGUCUUGCCCGUCCGCCUCUCCUAUGGCGCACGGCACCUGCCGCCGGACCCGCCCUUCCACCAUCUCCUGUGUCGCCGGCAGAACCUCACUUCGUGCUGCUCGCCAUCGGAUUGGCCCGCCCUUGCGCCUCUCCUACGACGCCAGCCUCCAGCUCCGCCCUCCUCCAUCUCCUAUGGUGCACGCCGCCCGCCGCCGGCCCCGCCCUUUGGCAUCUCCUAUGGCGCGCGGCGCCCGUCCGUCGGCCUCUCUUGUGGCUAACGGCUGUUGCUGCUCGAUGUCUCGAACAACGCUACAGAGUGGCCCUGCCACGCCUUCAUCGUAUACCUCAUCGGUAAAUUUCUUCCAGUUUUUUCUGUUUGAUUUGAUAUACUGUGCUCCAAAUUCUAAAUUUUGAAGGCUAUGGAUGGAAUUCCCCUUUCAUUUCAUAUAUUGCAAUGUAGCAUUUUAGUUCAAAGUUCGGAAACUGGAUUCUGUCUAUAGUUAUUCUCAUGUCCCUCAUGACUCUCUGCAUGUGUACUUCUUCUCAUGUUAAACUAAUGUGUGAUACAAGGUCUUUGCAUUUUCAAUGAUCCAUCCCUUGAGCCAUAUGAUCUGUCAGAUGAUGACACUAAUUUACAGAAGAAUUUCACACAUCUAAGUGAUCUUGCAGCUGCACUGCGAAAAUAUGACCAUCGUGAUGGUGUUGAAAGCGCUCUUAGUUCUGCUGAAAAGCUUGUGAGAGCAUCACCUGAUGAGCUGUGCCACUGCUCGGGUGAUCUUGUUCAAGCACGUGUACAUGUUCCUUGUUCUCGUGUCAAGGUGGAAGGCGAGGAAGAUUCUGCUGAAGAAAACCGACAGAAGGCAUUAGUCGCCUUGCUGAUGAAUAACCAACCAGGCGCAGAUCCAUUUCAGUCUUGAGCAUGCCCCAUUUACGGACCUAACGAGCACUGGUAAUAAUCAACAUCAUCCCGGGAAAAACGAAAUCUGACAUUUUAUUCUGAAUUUAUCUAACACUAUGGGAAUACGGUAAAUGAUAACAGUCAGAAAUCUGACAUUAUGAAAAAAACUAGACCAUUAGGGAGAAAAGCCCCUGCUGUUUUCUAUCUAAUAAAGAAGGAGAUGUCAGACCCGUGUAAGAACCGAGGUUCGAACCCGCACCGUCUAGGAGGCAGCACUGCACUCUGACCAUUGAGCUGAGAGCUCAUCUACCGAAAAAUCUGACAUUAAACCGGUAGGUCCCGACAUCAAUUGCCGGGUGUGUUCUAUAUGAAAGCUUGGGAUUUACCCUGCUAAUGUGCCAACUUUGGUUUUAGUUCAGGAAGAAGAAGGUUGUGCACAAGAUGGCGUUGAGUGUAACUGGCUUGAGGCUUUUCUUAAUUCCUUGGUUCUUUCUACCAAAAGUACUUGUAUUAGGACGUUUUCUACACAUUUGGGAUAGAUUAUCAAGAAAAUUUGUCUAAAGUUUGAUCAAAUUCAUUUAGAUUCAGUUUAAUUAUAGGGCUGUUCAUUUUUUACAUUGAUUUUAUCAUGUUAUAAACUUGUCAUACCAUAUAGUUCUUAAAACUGCAUAUGUUUUCCUACUGCAGGUGCCACUUGUUGUCACAAUUGCAAAGAGACGGUGCAUGUAUGCAUAUUUUAACUCUCAUGAGUACUUGUAGAAGGAGAAUUGUACAAUGCUGGAAGAUGUUAUUUGCAUAUGCAAAGUGGGAUCAUAUCUUUUGAAUGAUUCCGUUAGAAUGAGGUCACUCCUUGACUAACUCGAACUUGAAUCAUUUGCUUUUUUUUUAUCAUGGUUGGAGAUGUGGUGUAGCAUGAGCAGAAGCUAAUGGACGUGUCAGCGAGCCCCGAGGGAGAUGCCCCCUGCAACAUGAAGAACACCAUCUGGACAAAGGGGAGGUACACAGAUGGCCAAGGAUGAAAGGAGGCGUGCAGGUCUGCGUUUCACAGUUAUCUCUUUCAGCACCAGCGAUUAAAUGAAAUGCCUACUUUAAAGCUGUGUGAAUCCAUUAUUUUCCUUUGAGUUUGCUAUUGAGGUGACUUGGAAACCUUUUCUUUAACUUGGUGGAUGUAGUUGUAGUGAUGGAGACUUGCCUGAAUGUUGCUUUCCUGGGCGUGAAGUGCCUUGAAUUAUCAUAAAUUCUGUAUAAAUGUACGUACCUGUCUGCACCUGAUGGUGAUCUGCCAAAGUUUUGUACUUUCGAGGAAAAAAGAGAGGAUGAAGUAGCCGUCUUCCAGUCAUCUGGCAAGCAACAGUCCAGUGCAUAUUGCAUUGCAGACCUUGUUAGCAAGCAUCAUCGAGUGCCAUUGUAUCUUGAAUAACACAAUUGUACAGGGAUCUUGAAUAG
This is a non-coding RNA of Triticum urartu, 2532 nucleotides long. Lineage: Eukaryota; Viridiplantae; Streptophyta; Magnoliopsida; Poales; Poaceae. The record is from RefSeq and is a predicted model, not a curated record.